RNAcentral lists this ribosomal RNA (548 nucleotides) under uncultured marine picoplankton. RNAcentral's name for it is "SSU rRNA". It matches the Rfam family "Eukaryotic small subunit ribosomal RNA", at positions 597 to 1200 of the family's 1831-position model. The record is from RNAcentral.
GCGUAUAUUAAAGUUGUUGCAGUUAAAAAGCUCGUAGUUGAAUUUCGGGCUCCCGGCGUCACCGCUUCAUUGCGGGGGCACGGGGGCCCUCCUCGCCUUAGGGCGUCAUUUACUGUGAAAAAAUUAGAGUGUUCAAAGCAGGCAAUCGCUUGAAUACAUUAGCAUGGAAUAAUAAGAUAGGAUUUCGUCUAUUUUGUUGGUUGCGGACGACAAUAAUGAUUAAUAGGGAUAGUUGGGGGUGUCCGUAUUGAGCUGUCAGAGGUGAAAUUCUUGGAUUUGCUCAAGACGAACUACUGCGAAAGCAUUCACCAAGGAUGUUUUCAUUAAUCAAGAACGAAAGUCAGGGGAUCGAAGAGGAUUAGAUACCCUCGUAGUCUUGACCAUAAACUACGCCGACUCGGGAUUGGCAGACGUUGUAUCGACUCUGUCAGCACCGUAUGAUAAAUCAAAGUCUUUGGGUUCCGGGGGGAGUAUGGUCGCAAGGCUGAAACUUAAAGGAAUUGACGGAAGGGCACCACCAGGAGUGGAGCCUGCGGCUUAAUUUGACU